RNAcentral lists this ribosomal RNA (497 nucleotides) under uncultured bacterium. Its description in RNAcentral is "partial 16S ribosomal RNA". It matches the Rfam family "Bacterial small subunit ribosomal RNA", at positions 899 to 1397 of the family's 1533-position model. The record is from RNAcentral.
ACUCAAAUGAAUUGACGGGGGCCCGCACAAGCAGUGGAGCAUGUGGUUUAAUUCGAUGCAACGCGAAGAACCUUACCCAGGCUCGAAAUGUAGAGGGCGAUAUCAGAGAUGGUAUUUUCCGCAAGGACUUCUAUAUAGGUGCUGCAUGGCUGUCGUCAGCUCGUGCCGUGAGGUGUUGGGUUAAGUCCCGCAACGAGCGCAACCCUUAUCAUUAGUUGCCAACACGCGAGGUGGGGACUCUAAUGAGACUGCCCGGGUUAACCGGGAGGAAGGUGAGGAUGACGUCAAGUCCGCAUGGCCUUUAUGUCUGGGGCAACACAUGUGCUACAAUGGUCGGUACAGAAGGCAGCAAGACCGCAAGGUGGAGCAAAUCCGUAAAGCCGAUCUCAGUUCAGAUUGUAGUCUGCAACUCGACUACAUGAAGUUGGAAUUGCUAGUAAUGACGUAUCAGCUACGACGUCGUGAAUACGUUCCCGGGCCUUGUACACACCGCCCGU